This 577-nucleotide ribosomal RNA is filed under the name uncultured bacterium. Its description in RNAcentral is "partial 16S ribosomal RNA". It matches the Rfam family "Bacterial small subunit ribosomal RNA", at positions 355 to 932 of the family's 1533-position model. The record is from RNAcentral.
UGGGGAAUUUUGGACAAUGGGGGCAACCCUGAUCCAGCAAUGCCGCGUGUGUGAAGAAGGCCUUCGGGUUGUAAAGCACUUUUGUCCGGGAAGAAAUCCCCUGCCCUAAUACGGCGGGGGAUGACGGUACCGGAAGAAUAAGCACCGGCUAACUACGUGCCAGCAGCCGCGGUAAUACGUAGGGUGCGAGCGUUAAUCGGAAUUACUGGGCGUAAAGCGUGCGCAGGCGGUGAUGUAAGACCGAUGUGAAAUCCCCGGGCUCAACCUGGGAACUGCAUUGGUGACUGCAUUGCUCGAGUAUGGCAGAGGGGGGUGGAAUUCCACGUGUAGCAGUGAAAUGCGUAGAGAUGUGGAGGAACACCGAUGGCGAAGGCAGCCCCCUGGGCCAAUACUGACGCUCAUGCACGAAAGCGUGGGGAGCAAACAGGAUUAGAUACCCUGGUAGUCCACGCCCUAAACGAUGUCAACUGGUUGUCGGGCCUUCAUUGGCUUGGUAACGUAGCUAACGCGUGAAGUUGACCGCCUGGGGAGUACGGUCGCAAGAUUAAAACUCAAGGAAUUGACGGGGUCAUAGCUG